This 125-nucleotide transfer RNA is filed under the name Heterololigo bleekeri (Bleeker's squid). RNAcentral describes it as "tRNA-Ile". Lineage: Eukaryota; Metazoa; Mollusca; Cephalopoda; Myopsida; Loliginidae. The record is from RNAcentral.
ACCAAAACCAUAAAACCUUAUUUAUAUCAAUGAAAACAACAUAUAUAUAUAUAUAUAUAUAACACUGCGCCGGAUAGAACGGAUUAUAUUGAUGUUAUAAAUUAUAAGGAUCUCCUUCUGUGUUU